AUGCCGUUCCACAAAUUAGCUGCUGUACCAGUACUAGUAUGGCUGGGCGUAGCGCUUGCCACAAGGUUACCACGGGCUGGAGCAACACCGACACCACAUAGCAGCCAGUGCAAAACAAAAUGCGGCCGCGUAGACAUCCCUUACCCUUUCGGCAUCGUCGAUUCUCCUGAUGACGGCCACUGCGCCAUGCAUGAUGGCUUCGCCCUGACCUGCAACAAGACCGGGAUUAAUGGUAGGCGCCGCAGGCCAUUUGCUGGCGAUGUGGAGGUCGUCCACAUUUCGCUGCAGCGAGGUAAGGCCCGGAUGAAGGCGACCAUCUCCUCCUACUGCUACAACCUCACCUCUCGGGUUAUGGACACGGACCCGUGGUCGGUCGACCUCAAGGGUACGCCCUACAAGUUUGCGGGCACCAACAAGUUCACCGUCAUCGGCUGCCAAAGCCUGGUGUACAUCGUGGGCGAGCACGGCGACGACGCCCAAGACCAGUACAUGAGUGGGUGCGUGGCCAUGUGCUGGCGCGGAGGCAACGGCGAUGUCAGGUCGGCCCUCAGAAACGGCUCCUGCUCCGGGAUAGGCUGCUGCCAGACAGCCAUCCCCAAGGGGUUGCAGUACUACCAGGUGCUCUUCGAGCCUGGAGUCAACACGACGGAGAUCCACAACGUCAGCCGCUGCAGCUAUGCGGUGCUCAUGGACUCGUCCGACUUCACCUUCUCGACGACCUAUGUGACCUCGCGGGCGUUCAUUAACAACUACGGCGGCCAGGCGCCGUUCGUGGUUGACUGGUCUAUCGGAAACGAGACGUGCGACGCAGCCCGCAAGAAGCAUGUGUCCUAUGCGUGCGUCAGCGACAACAGCGAGUGCUUCAACUCACAGAAUGGACCAGGCUACAUCUGCAACUGCUCCAAAGGCUUCCAUGGUAAUCCUUACCUGCAACAUCUGGAGCGCGGAUGCAAAGACAUUGACGAAUGCAAGCACCCCCAACGGUAUCGCUGCUCAAAUGGCGGGGUCUGCAGAAACAGGCUGGGAGGCUAUGACUGUCCAUGCAAAUCUAGAUGGAAAGGCGUCGCCAAAGCGGGAACCUGUAUAGAUCAUUUCCCUCUAGCAGCAAAGCUGGCAGUCGGUGCAAUAGGUGGUAUUCUUCUUAUGUCGAUCAUAUCGUUCCUUAUUAUUCUUCACAAAGAGAAGAAGAAGAUGAAGGAAUUCUACAAAAAUAAUGGCGGCCCUCUAUUAGAGGAAGCAACAGGCAUUAAAAUUUUCAAAAAGGGGGAGCUCAAGCCAUUUUUGAAGAAUAGCAACAUAAUUGGAAAAGGUGGAUUUGGUAAAGUUUACAAGGGCCUUCUUGACAAUAAAGAAGUUGCAAUAAAGAAGCCAAUCAAUGGUAGCGUGCGAGAGAAUAAACAAUUUGCCAAUGAAGUCAUCAUCCAAUCUCAAGUCAUCCACAAGAACAUUGUUAGGCUCAUUGGAUGUUGCCUUGAAGUUGAAGCCCCCCUGCUGGUCUAUGAGUUUAUCUCACAAGGUAGCCUCCAUGAUAUUCUUCACAACCACAAUAACAAGGUGGCACUCAACUUGGAGGCACGUUUGAAUAUCGCUGCGCAGUCAGCCGAUGGGCUAGCUUAUAUGCACUCAAAAGCAAAUAUUAGAAUUCUACACGGUGAUGUCAAGCCAGCAAAUAUACUCUUGGAUGAUAACUUUGUACCCAAGAUUUCCGACUUCGGCAUAUCUAGGUUGCUUGCUAGAGACAAGGAACACACAGGAUCAGUCAUCGGUGACAUGAAUUAUAUGGAUCCAGUAUAUCAACGAGAAGGCCUACUCACCGAAAAAAGUGAUGUCUACAGUUUUGGAGUUGUGAUCCUGGAGCUUAUUAGUAGCAGGAGGGCCAUACAUUCUGAGAAUAAUAGCUUGUUAAAGAGCUUUCUUGAAUACGAUAAGAAAAAGGAAAAAAUGACCGAGCUUUUUGACAAGGAAAUUGCAAUAACAAAAGAUUUGGAGCUUCUUGAUAGUCUAGCAUGCAUGGCCCUGAAAUGCCUUAGCCUUGAUGUAGAACAAAGACCAACAAUGAUGGAGAUAGCUGAGCAGCUACUCAUACUGAGCCGCUCUCGUAAGGUGUAA
RNAcentral lists this ribosomal RNA (2109 nucleotides) under Triticum aestivum (bread wheat). RNAcentral's name for it is "partial small subunit ribosomal RNA". The record is from RNAcentral. Lineage: Eukaryota; Viridiplantae; Streptophyta; Magnoliopsida; Poales; Poaceae.